This 253-nucleotide ribosomal RNA is filed under the name uncultured bacterium. Its description in RNAcentral is "partial 16S ribosomal RNA". It matches the Rfam family "Bacterial small subunit ribosomal RNA", at positions 524 to 776 of the family's 1533-position model. The record is from RNAcentral.
UACGUAGGGACCGAGCGUUGUCCGGAAUCAUUGGGCGUAAAGAGCGUGUAGGCGGCUAUUUAAGUCCUGCGUGAAAUCCUGCGGCUCAACCGCAGACGGUCGUGGGAAACUGGAUGGCUAGAGUGCGGGAGAGGAGAGUGGAAUUCCCGGUGUAGCGGUGAAAUGCGCAGAUAUCGGGAAGAACACCCGUGGCGAAGGCGGCUCUCUGGGACGGUACUGACGCUGAGACGCGAAAGCGUGGGGAGCGAACAGG